Molecule: ribosomal RNA, 253 nt
Filed under: uncultured bacterium
Lineage: Bacteria
Description: partial 16S ribosomal RNA
Rfam family: Bacterial small subunit ribosomal RNA
Source: RNAcentral
UACGUAGGGUGCAAGCGUUAAUCGGAAUUACUGGGCGUAAAGCGUGCGCAGGCGGUUUUGUAAGUCUGUCGUGAAAUCCCCGGGCUCAACCUGGGAAUUGCGAUGGAGACUGCAAGGCUAGAGUUUGGCAGAGGGGGGUAGAAUUCCACGUGUAGCAGUGAAAUGCGUAGAGAUGUGGAGGAACACCGAUGGCGAAGGCAGCCCCCUGGGCCAAUACUGACGCUCAGGCACGAAAGCGUGGGGAGCAAACAGG